Molecule: microRNA precursor, 148 nt
Filed under: Ornithorhynchus anatinus (platypus)
Lineage: Eukaryota; Metazoa; Chordata; Mammalia; Monotremata; Ornithorhynchidae
Description: microRNA oan-mir-1371 precursor
Source: miRBase by way of RNAcentral
UGACUUUAGAUGAAAGGCAGUAAAACUAUUAGAUGAGGACUCUGAGAAGAGGAGGAAGAUAGAAGUCUUAGGACAGACAAAACGACAGUCAUGCGUCAGUUUCAUGAGUAACAUUAAAACUCCAAAUGCUGUUGAUACAUAUUUGUUA